GCCUGGGGCCCGUGCCCCCCGCCCCCCCGGCCCGCAUCUUCGCUCCGGAGUCACCUCACGUUCCCAGACCGCACCUUUCCCCGGGGCCCAGGGGACCGCCCGAACUGCUACGGUUUGGAGGCCAUUUUUGCUUGUUUUCUCCUUGGCAAAACAUGAACUCUGCUACGAAAAUAAAAUGAUUUAUUUUUUUAACAGAAAGAAGAAGGAAAAGGGGGAAAACUCAUAAAAAUAAAAGCCCAAGGGCAACUCCAGCAGCAAACCGGACUUCAAGUCUGCGGCGCUGCGGGACGGAAGCGGACGCACCCGGACGUAACUUUGCCUUUGUCUGAACAGAACAGCAGUGACUCCGGAGAAAGCACUGGAAAUUUUGCCUUCCCUUGUCUCUGCCCAAGUGCUGACUCUGGACACCGCCAGUGGCCUCAGCUGUUCCCUUUCCUUCUAGAGGCGGAAAAAGGGAUGAGCCCCAGAACACAUAUUUGGAAACCUCUGUCCUGUCUUGACAAAGGGCUUUCUGAGAAUGUGGCUGAUUCUUCAUCGUUACACAACAGAGGGAGGAUUGAGCAAGUGCGGCCGCCGAGAACGCCAGCUGGAUUCAACUGGAUUUUGUCUCGAAUAUUAAAAACAGGGCCUGGGCUGUCUUCUGACCUCCAGGCCUGGGAGAGGCGUGGCUGGCUCUAGGGCUCUACCGGAGAUUGGGCUAGACAUCAAGAGGGACUUCCUGGCUGGCGAGGCUGUGUAGCAGAGGAAGGAGAAAGGAGGAGCAUCACCGGACUGCCUUCCCUGUGGAAAUAAAUUAAAAAAAAAAAAUACACCAGACUCAAAAGAAGAACGAGGGAGUGGGUCAGAGGCUGCAAGUUUGCGCGUCCCCGUGACCCACCCCGUGACAUCUUUAAAUACCGCUGAAUGACCACAGCUGCUCCCCAAAUAGUGUCCUUGCCUGGUUUUCGAGAAGGUGAAUCUGAGCCCAUGACUCCCUCGCUCCAGAACCUUCUAUAGCGCACCGUUGCCUUUGAAACUGAGUCGAGCUCUUUAAUUGCUGCUCUGCGUGGCCGGGUCUCCGUUUAUGUCUCCUUGGACCUCAUCUCUUCCAUCCUGCCCUGCACUCACCUCUCCAACUGGAACCAUCUGUUUGCUUGGGUGAAGUGAAUCUCCUCGUUUUAGACCAGUGGUGUCUAAUACCAUAGCCGCUCAACUGAUCCAUAAUUUAUAGUAAUAAUUACAUGUUGAAAGAGUAAUAUUUUGCAUAUGUUGAGUUAAAUUUAUUAUUAGAAUUAGGCUCAUUUGUUUCUUUUUACUUUUUAUUGUGGCUACUGGAAACAUUUAAAUGAUAGAGAUGACUGCGUCUGUGGCUAACAGCGCUUCCAUCGCACAGCGCCGGUCUGGAGUGAUGGGUCACAAACUACCGCUCGCCAUCUGUUUCCGUAGAGUCCGUGGGCUAAACGCGGUUUGUUACUUUGGGAAAAUGGUCAGGAAAGAAACUAAGGAAGAAUAUUUUGUGACAUGAAAAUUGUAUGACCCUGAAACUUCAGCAUCCACAAAUAAAGUUUUAUUGGCACACA
Molecule: long non-coding RNA, 1559 nt
Organism: Hyaena hyaena (striped hyena)
Lineage: Eukaryota; Metazoa; Chordata; Mammalia; Carnivora; Hyaenidae
Exons: 5
Source: RefSeq, a predicted model, not a curated record